Molecule: ribosomal RNA, 484 nt
Filed under: uncultured bacterium
Lineage: Bacteria
Description: partial 16S ribosomal RNA
Rfam family: Bacterial small subunit ribosomal RNA
Source: RNAcentral
AUUGAACGCUGGCGGCAGGCCUAACACAUGCAAGUCGAGCGGAUGAAGGGAGCUUGCUCGUGGAUUCAGCGGCGGACGGGUGAGUAAUGCCUAGGAAUCUCCCUAGUAGUGGGGUAGAACGUCCGGAAACGGGCGCUCAUACCGCAUACGUCCUGAGGGAGAAAGUGGGGGAUCUUCGGACCUCACGCUAUCAGAUGAGCCUAGGUGGGAUUAGCGAGUUGGUGGGGUAAAGGCCUACCAAGGCGACGAUCCGUAACUGGUCUGAGAGGAUGAUCAGUCACACCUGAACCUGGAAACGGUUCCGACCUCUAAGGGAGGCAGGAGUUGGGAAAUAUGGGACAUGGGGGGAAAGCCUAACCAGGCAAUCCCGCGGGUGUGAAAAAGGUCUUCGGAUUGAAAGGCACUUAAGUGGGGAGGAAGGGCAGUAAGUUAAUACCUUGCUGUUUUGACGGUACCAACAGAAUAAGCACCGGCUAACUUCGUG